AAUGCAAGUGAUAAAUCAAUUAAGGUUAUGUACAAUGAAAAGAAAAGAAAAGAAAAUAAGUCCCACUAUAUAUAAGAGAGAGUAAUGAGCUUUUGGACUGAUAUCUUAGCUUAUGUUUGAACUAUUUGGUCUCUUUGUAGGUAUUAUGCCCCUGCAUUGGGUUUUUUGAUGUUUGCAGUGGGGGUUAAUUCCAGUGAGAAGGAUUUUAUUGAAGCAUUUAAAAGGCCAGAUGCUAUUUUUACUGGUUAUGUUGGUCAAUUUGUUGUGAAACCCCUGCUUGGAUAUAUUUUUGGAAUAAUUGUUGUGACAGUGUUUGGUCUUCCUACUCCUUUAGGUAGGUCUAUCUGUCUUUGUGCGGGGAUUAUGUUGGUAUCCUGCGUAAGUGGUGCCCACUCUCGAAUUAUGCUACAUUUUUACAGAUCCACCACUAGCUCCAUUAAGCAUCGUUAUGACAUCUUUAUCUCUCGCUCUCUUUGUUUUUGUUACACCAAUGUUGUCUCUCCGCUUAUUGGAAAAAGACCGCGGUUGAUGUAGUGGAAUGGUUUCUAGCAUUCUGCAUUGUUAUUGCUCCUAUUAUCGCAGGAUUGCUUUUGAAUCGGUGAUUUCCUCGUCUUUGUGAAGCCAUGAGACCAUUUCGCGCCGCUUUUGCAUUUGAUACAACUUGUUGUGUUGGAGCGCCUUGCUAUUAACAUUAUUUCGGUUUUGUCCCCAUUUGGUUUAACUGCUUGUUGCUCAUUGUUGCAUUCCAUUUAUCAGCAUUCAUUGCUGGUUAUUUCCUCGAUGGUUCACUCUUCCAUAAAGCACCUAAUGUGAAAGCAUUGCAAAGAACACUAUCUUUCGAGACGGUGAGAGUGAGACCCUUUUUUGCCGCUUCGCUUUUGGCGCUUGCACUUGCUAAUAGGUUCUUCCAGAUCCACUUGUCGUUGUGCCUCCAGCUAUCUCAGUAAGCCUUUUUUGUUUACCUUUUCCCCCUUAUUGUUUUUAGUUUCCUUUUCGCAAAGGAAUAAUAUGCAAAUUAUGAUACCAUUUCGCAUAAAUUGUUAAAAAGAUGCUUAUGUAUAAGAGACUCCCAAGAAAGGGGCUCCUUUUGGCAUUGGUUUCUUAUUUGCUUGUUGUAGCUUGAAGAAUCUAUAAAGAUGGAAUAUUUGCUUUUGUUCAUAACAGUUAACAAGCUCGUUACAAUUAUGUGCAACCCUUAUUCCAUCUUCUCAAAGUUUCUUCUUUUAUGUUUAUUUCAAAGUUCCAAAUAGUUAGUUCCGGUGAAGAUGAA
Gossypium raimondii (Peruvian cotton) is the source of this 1270-nucleotide RNA transcript. It is a transcript of the gene named probable sodium/metabolite cotransporter BASS6, chloroplastic, with no coding region annotated. The record is from RefSeq and is a predicted model, not a curated record. NCBI's taxonomy places the organism in Eukaryota, Viridiplantae, Streptophyta, Magnoliopsida, Malvales, Malvaceae. The transcript is spliced from 4 exons.